UUCCUCUCAGGGUCACACCUGGAGAGUUUCCAGUACUCUCCCAGUCUCGGCUAUGGGAGGGAGAGUCAAGCAGAGGCAUACCCAUUCCUUUCCUGGCUUGGGUAGUGGCUAGCAAGUGGAACGCAAUCUGCUACAAGU
This is a non-coding RNA of Ornithorhynchus anatinus (platypus), 138 nucleotides long. The record is from Rfam. NCBI's taxonomy places the organism in Eukaryota, Metazoa, Chordata, Mammalia, Monotremata, Ornithorhynchidae.